Molecule: long non-coding RNA, 1544 nt
Filed under: Panax ginseng (ginseng)
Lineage: Eukaryota; Viridiplantae; Streptophyta; Magnoliopsida; Apiales; Araliaceae
Description: long non-coding RNA (PGIN_LNC011967)
Source: RNAcentral
UGAAAUAUUCAUUCUAAAAUAGAUUAAAAGGUCGUAUUGGGCGAUCAAUGUAAUUUACUUAUAGGGCAAAGGUCCAAAAAUGCCCCUGAUGUUUACCCCGAUUUUUCACUUACACCUUAAAUUAUUAUUUUUUUUAAAAGUACACUCAACGUUACAAAUUUUGGCUCAACUAUGCCCCUCCCGUCAACGGAUCUGCCACUUAGAUAAAUGUGGCUGACUAGGCUGGACACAUGGCAAAAAUAAAAUUUAAUAAUAAUUUUUUAUUAUUUUCUCUUUCUCCUCCCUCUUUUCUCUCUCUCUCUCCUUUUUUUUUCUUCUCCCUCUUUUCUCUCUCUCUCUUCUAUUUCCUCUGUUCCUUCCUCUGUUCCGUUAUGCAGAUGAUCAUUCAGAUCUGUGCAUCAAUAUUUCCACAAGGCCUACUUAUAGAUGGAUUAUGCAAAUGAAUCCCCCCAUUACAAUAACCUCUCUCUUGCUUCUUUCUUAGCUCCAACACAUAAUCCAUCAGACCAUUUUGACAACUGGGGUCAGAAUAUAGAACAGGGGAAUGACUCCAUGCUGCUUUUUGACAACUGGGGUCAGAAUAAAGCAAGGUUAUUGAUGAAGGCCAGCCACCAUAUAAAUGAUGCAUAUAAAGAGAUGGAAAAUGUAAAGGGUGGCUACAAAAUCCAAGCACUUCUUUGCUCUCUCAAUCAAGUAUAGCAAAUAACCAGCCCUGCACAAACAUUAAAAUUAAAAUUACGAUGCUCUAGAGACAUUUAUUACUUCUUCAUAGUAAUUUCAGCACAAGCAGAAUAGACCAAAAAAUCAAAUCAACACAAACAAUUCAACCUCAGGUAACCCAAACCAUCAACUUUUAAAUAAUUAAACUAGAUAGAAUUAAAGGGCAAUAAUAAUUCAUAUAAUCUCAAAUUCUACUAUUUUUUUCACAAAUACCCAAUUAUUUAAUUUCAAUAACAAUUCAUAAAAUCAACUAACAAAUUCAUGAAACCCACAAAAAUUAUACAAUCAAUUUUCAAGUAGGCCAAUAAAAAAAAUUAAACAGGGGUAUGACAAAUAAAAGUUAAAUUAAAAUUAUGGGUAUCGAAAAGAUUCAAAACCCUCACCUGAUAUCAGCUCCAAUCUCUUAAAUUAAACCCAUCAAAUCUAUUCAAUGAAAUCUAUAAACCCUAACCAAUUUUGAAUUUUUCAAUUACAAGAAGAUAGAGAUUGAGAGGAGAGAGAAAAUAAAUGCGCAACACUUUGUAUACAUCGUAUCUGUGCAAAAAGAUAGACAGAGAGGGAUGACAGUUCCAGAGUUUUUGUCGCUUAAAUCCUAUCGGAAAAUCACCAGCAAAAGAAGAGUUAGUCAAAGAAUGAUGGAAGUUAAUGAAGAGAGGGCUUAGAGAGAGAAUGGGGUGUGGUUAGUGUUUAGAGAGAGAAUAUUUAGUUUAAUGGGUGAGGAUGAGUUGAAAUUUUUAUUUUGUUUUUUGUUUUUGUCAUGUCAGUUAAUUUUAACGUCCGUUUAUCUAGUUGUCAUUUUUUUUAAUGAGAGGGGCAUAGUUGAG